Molecule: ribosomal RNA, 408 nt
Filed under: uncultured bacterium
Lineage: Bacteria
Description: bacterial SSU rRNA
Rfam family: Bacterial small subunit ribosomal RNA
Source: RNAcentral
UGCCAGCAGCCGCGGUAAUACGUAGGUGGCAAGCGUUGUCCGGAUUUAUUGGGUUUAAAGGGUGCGUAGGCGGUCUUUUAAGUCAGUGCUGAAAUAUCCCGGCUUAACCGGGAGGGUGGCAUUGAUACUGAAGGACUUGAGUAAAGUUGAGGUAGGCGGAAUUGACGGUGUAGCGGUGAAAUGCUUAGAUAUCGUCAAGAACACCGAUAGUGUAGACAGCUUACUAAGCUUUAACUGACGCUGAGGCACGAAAGUGUGGGGAUCAAACAGGAUUAGAUACCCUGGUAGUCCACACUGUAAACGUUGAUGACUCGAUGUUAGCGAUACACAGUUAGCGUCUUAGAGAAAUCGUUAAGUCAUCCACCCUGGGGAGUACGCCGGCAACGGUGAAACUCAAAGGAAUGACGG